This 446-nucleotide ribosomal RNA is filed under the name uncultured bacterium. Its description in RNAcentral is "bacterial SSU rRNA". It matches the Rfam family "Bacterial small subunit ribosomal RNA", at positions 329 to 792 of the family's 1533-position model. The record is from RNAcentral.
AUCCAGACUCCUACGGGAGGCAGCAGUGGGGGAUAUUGCACAAUGGGGGGAACCCUGAUGCAGCGACGCCGCGUGGGUGAAGAAGCGCCUCGGCGCGUAAAGCCCUGUCAGCAGGGAAGAAAAUGACGGUACCUGAAGAAGAAGCCCCGGCUAACUACGUGCCAGCAGCCGCGGUAAUACGUAGGGAGCAAGCGUUGUCCGGAUUUACUGGGUGUAAAGGGCGUGCAGCCGGGAAGACAAGUCAGAUGUGAAAUCCCGCGGCUCAACCGCGGAACUGCAUUUGAAACUGUUUUUCUUGAGUACCGGAGAGGUCAUCGGAAUUCCUUGUGUAGCGGUGAAAUGCGUAGAUAUAAGGAAGAACACCGGUGGCGAAGGCGGCCUGCUGGACUGCAACUGACGUUGAGGCCCGAAAGCGUGGGGAGCAAACAGGAUUAGAUACCCGUGUA